UACGAAGGGAGCUAGCGUUGUUCGGAAUUACUGGGCGUAAAGGGCGCGUAGGCGGCCUGAUAAGUCAGAUGUGAAAGCCCCGGGCUUAACCUGGGAACUGCAUUUGAUACUGUCAGGCUAGAGAUCGAGAGAGGAAAGUGGAAUUACGAGUGUAGAAGUGAAAUUCGUAGAUAUUCGUAGGAACACCGGUGGCGAAGGCGACUUUCUGGCUCGAUACUGACGCUAAAGCGCGAAAGCGUGGGGAGCAAACAGG
This 253-nucleotide ribosomal RNA is filed under the name uncultured bacterium. RNAcentral's name for it is "partial 16S ribosomal RNA". It matches the Rfam family "Bacterial small subunit ribosomal RNA", at positions 524 to 776 of the family's 1533-position model. The record is from RNAcentral.